Molecule: long non-coding RNA, 9886 nt
Organism: Passer domesticus (house sparrow)
Lineage: Eukaryota; Metazoa; Chordata; Aves; Passeriformes; Passeridae
Exons: 9
Source: RefSeq, a predicted model, not a curated record
CACGGCCUCGCCUUCCCCAAGCGAGAACGGGUCGACACCCAUUUAAAAUAUUAAAUUGUCGCCGUUUGCAACCCAAACACCUCGGUGUUGCAAAUAAAGCCUAAGGAAGGAAAUUACUCAGUCAGCGUCGCUGCACCCUGUCCUCGUGUCAGCAUUACAGAGACCUGGUCCAGGUUCCUUUCUGAGAUAUUUUCAGUGAAAAACUGUCUGGGCUGCUCACUCCUUAACAAGGAAGAGGACAACUCUGCUUUCCAAAACUUUUCCACACUAAGAGAGACAGAAGAGAACUAGAUACUUCCAUAUGUGAUUCAUCAUUAUCCACUGCUACAUUGGGAUGAGACUUUCAGAUCUCCCCAGAAUCAGAAAAAAUUCCUCAGCCUUGGAAGCACCUCUUUGUUUGGAUUGUUGCACAUAUUGUCAGUGCGUGGCUAUUGAUUCAACAACUCAGUGGACAAAAGGACCAUUCUGGAUUCUUACACUUGCCUUUAAAUGAAAGUUGUCAAUUAGCCCCUUCAGUUUCAAAGGAGUUUAAGCUGACCAAACAAUCUGACACCUAUUCACUCACACAAAGGGGAAGAAAUCAGAAGAAGUAAAUACUGCAUAUUAAGUCUCCUUGUCUAUGAAAUCCAAAGAGUUUCCAAAAUCUCUGAUACUGUCUAAACUCUUCAUUCCAGGAUCUAAAGUGUGUAUUCAUGCCACCAUUGUCUCAGCUGCAAUUGAACACUGCAAUGACUUUUAAUCUGAUUGCUUUCUUCUCUCUCUCUUGUUCCUUGACCCUGGACUUGUCAAAAUGCUCUGAUUGUAUAGUUCAGCUCUUUGAAUCUCUCUAAUUCCACUUCAUUUAUUUAUUCCAUAUUCUGUAGUUAUUUCCUUUACUUCUUCAGCCAAAGGAACUUCUUUGUCUUCUCUUAUCAUAACCUCUUAAACCUCAUAUUGCUUUGUUGGAUCCUGUUCCAGGGUCAUGUUUGCCUAUAGAAGGACUCUGUAUUUUGUUGGAAACUGGAAUUAGUCCACUACUCACCUGCAUUACAUUUUUCUAAAUAUCCAUAUUUGAGUUUUUCCCCUACACUUGCAUCAACACACGGGCUAUAAUUUUUACCCAGGCAAGGCAUUUUUAGUGCAUUGGAGUUCCCUACAUUUUAUGGAAUUGAUUCAAACCUCCAGAGCCUGUCUGUGAUACAAGGGUUAAUACUAGGAAUGAACAAGAAGCAUUUCUGAAAACUGCCAGACUAACUGGAAAGCCAGGUGGGCCAAGGUGGUCAAGAAAGCAGCUUGGCUUUAGGUCCUAUGUUUUAUGGGUCAAGCCUGGAGCCAUUCAUAGGAUCACAAAACCAUUUAGAUUGGAAAAAAGCCUUUAAGAUCAUUAAGUCCAACUCUAAAGCUAACACUGACAGGUCCAUCACUUAACCACGCCCCGCUGAUACAUCCCUUAGUGCCACAUCUACAUGUCUCUGAAGCACCUCCAGAGAUGGUGGCUGAAAAGUUAAAUAAUUCAAUAGAUAAUUUCUGUUACGGCUCUCCUCUAAGAUUGUGAAAGACCAUUUUCUAAAUCUACAUUCUGCCUGAUAUCCAGAUGAGACUUCAACCCACAUCUCCUACAGCUCAGUCUAAACUCCCAAGUUAUAUCUCUUUUUGAUGUGUGUUUCUCUUUCUGCUCUGCUGAAGACCUACAACAGCUGUACCAUCAAAUUCAACUGUACGGAGGGACAGACCAUCUUAGGUGAGAUCAGGCUUUGAAGCAGAGGAACUCUUAGAACAGAUCAGCAAUUUUUUUAGCAAAACAGUUUUUGGCAUGAAAACACACUGGUUUGUUAACCAUGUUUUUUUGCAAAAGUCGAAUCUACCUGAGUGUGGUUACUGGUUCAGGCACUGGUGAUCUGCACUGUGAGAGUACCUAAUGUAUUAUUUUGUGUACUGCUCAGUGUCCUAGCCACCUCUCUUUCUCUACAAGUUUUCUUGAAUUCUUCCUUGUAUUUUUCUUUUGAUUACAAAAUUAUUAGCCAGUACUGGGAGGUGGUGUAUAUAUCUCUCAUGUAUUUAUCUUUUUUGAAAAAAAGAAAAUCCAUUUUUUUCUCUGUUACUGAGAAUAGAGUAAUAAUUUUCCUCUUUGUUGUGGAAUAGGGGGCAUGUUUUUAGCCAACUCCAUUUAAUGUCUCUUCCAAUAAUCUGUCUCAUGUGCAGAUUUUCUUGUAAAAAAAGUCCCUGCAGUAAUUCACAUUCUAGUUCUUUAAAUAUAUAAUGACAGUCCAUGUUAUGAAAUAUAUUAACUUCUCAGUCACAUUUCCUAUUACCCAGGUAGAAAAGAUGCAAAGUUCCAGUCUACAUCUCUCUUGAGUCCUACUAUGGCAGCUUCUGAAAGGGCUCCUGGUUUUGUGUGUCCUGCCAGGAGGAGUGGCUGAAACUCACAAGGAUCUCAUCUCAUCUUAUCUCUUCUGCCAGUGACCUGUGACAAACCAGAGGCAGCCCUAAAUACCUCAGAGGCAAGGUACAAGGAAAACUGUGUCAGACAUAUCUAAAUUAACUGGCUCCUGAAGAAAGACUCCUUCCAUCCUGUCAUUAUUAAAAAAGGAAGGAAAACAAAACGCAGAAAACCAAAAAUCCCAAAACAAACAAAACCUGAAGCUUUGAAGGAGAAAGGUAAAAUUGCUUUCGCUGGCACGAUUAUCACUGUUCACUGCUGCAUUCAGCAUGCUGCUCAAUGUGAUAAUGAGUGAUGUCUUUUUUCCAUCACUUCAAUACAGGUUUUCUUGUGAAAAGUAACCUGUCUGGAGAUCUGGAGAGUGCACUCUAAGCUGAUGUGAUUAGACACUUGUGACAGUAGGAGAGCCACUGACUACAGGCCCUUCAGUUGGGAGUGGUCUCCAUUGAGAACAACAUUCAGUAACUUGCUGAAACAGGAGUCUCAAUAACUCUGCAUUUCAGUUCAGAGCAUGCCAAGCUGCAAUUCAUUUCUUGCUGUAGUCCUCACGUCCCAUAAAGCCUAUAUAGCUCAAGCAUUUCAGAAAGGAAGAGGCAUUUGGAACAUGAUAUGAAAUAUAACCUGAGUUUCUGUUCACUCUUCCACAUGUUGCAUCAUUUAUUAACACUGUCCCUUCUUAACAAGUCUAGAUGAUGAAGCUUCUGCAAAAUCUGUCUGACCAGCUGCCUGUCUGUCUCCCACGUACUAAACACAAAGCAAAGCUCAUAGGCUUGUGUGCACUUUUCAGCUUUGGUCCUUCCAGAAGUGUCUUUAAUUAAAGUGGGAGAAAAAUCAACCCUCCAAAAAACGUCUGAGAAAACAAGAUUAUACCUUGCAUGAACAAGGGAGAGACUGAGAUGCUUUUUCAGCUUGUGGUGUUCAACUGUGCAGCAGGCAUUGCAUGCUGUAGUGCUUUAUGGCAUCUCUCUGCUGUAAAGGCUGAUUAAAAAAGAAAGGUAGAUGAAUAGACUGCAGUCUCUUCAAGAUGCAAGACAAGGAAAAAAUUGGUCUGGAAGCCUGCUGAAGAAAGAGACUGUUUGGCAAUCUGGUGCAAUAUGAGCAGCUCACCCUCCUGUUUCUCCAUCUCAUGUUGUAAGCCAAAGCAGUUCCCAACUGCCACGUUUGGAAGAGAAUUAAAAUCACAUUGUGACUGAUCCAAGAAUCAGACCUGAAAUGUGGAAGGCAACAUUUGCAGCUGACUGGAGGAAGAGGUCAGAUGUACUCAAAGAUGUUGAGAGGCACUAAUGCAUGGACUGACCAGUUUAUGGAACAGGAUGAAGGAUGGAAAACAAGACAAUUGUGCCAAGAGAAAUUAUUUCAAUCACUCAAUGUGCCCUGAAGUGUUCUGCAUAAACUUAAAGGUUGGAUGGGAGAAAGAGGGUUUCUGCUUUCUUAACUGCAUUGUACAUGCAACAGGGAGAGUGAUUUAUGGACUAGGUGCUUAUGAUCUGUAGCACAAAAUGAAGCCAAAUAUUGAAGUCUUCCAUGUUUCACACAUUCAUAGUUGCUUCAUUCAAUAGUUCACAUGUGAUGGAUGGGAUAACAACACUUGCUAAACUUCAGGCACAUGAAGUACUAAACCCUCAAUUUUCCUUGUUUUCCCAACUAUUGAUGUCACAAUAUGCAUCCAUUCUGGUCAGUGGAAAUGGUUUUUGCAGGUUGAGUAAUCCUUUGUACUGUGCACUACUAUUAUUUUCCUCUGGAAUCUUCCCAUUGUAGAAAAUUCUGUGUAUUUGUCUCUUUGUAACAUUGGUUACAACAUGCUGUGAAAUACGUACCUGGAUUGGUGAGGUCUGAGUCAGAUUUUCUGCCCCUUUGUGCUGCUUUUCAUGCCUUUCACCUUUACUGACUUCAGCAGUACGCAAACUCAGAGGCUUUAAUUAAAAGGACAAAUUCUGCUUGUGUUUGUGUUGUGAUGAAGGCCUGGGUAUUCCUUUGGGUGAAGAUGAGUGUUACUGAGGUCAAGAUGUGGUCCAUCAUUAUCUCUGAUGUAACAGUGUGAAGGAAACAAUCAUAGCUACUUAGUUUUUUGACUGUUGGUAUAAAAUCAGUGUUGCUUGGUCUGUUGUGCCACUAUUCAUCUGUAGAUGCAGACCGAGGUAGGAUGAACCAGGAGGGAUAGUGAGCACCCUUGCUGGAGCUGACAGUUGUCAGAAGAAAUGUUUAUUGGGAAAAAAUUAUUGUCUCAACUUGCUGAUGACCUUAACUUGCUCUUUAUAGAAGACAGCUUGACUGAUGCAUAAUUGUAUCCUGAGAAAUUUGUUUGCUCAAAUUUUAAAGGAAAUAGUUAUUUUUUAUUCUGUUACUUUACAAUGCUUUAUCAGUAAAGACAACAAAACAUUGUUUAAAUGGAGUACCUCAAAGAUGCAAAAAAUGAAUCAAUUUCUUACAGCAGUGCUUGUCUCUCUAAUGGAAACCCCCAGGAUGGAUGGGCUUCUGUUUCUUGCUGCAAAUGUUAGCUAUCAUGUAGAGGAGCUAUUGCUCUAUCAGAAAUCAUGCCUAAGUCUGUUAUUCCAAGGACACAAUUUUUUAAAUAAAGAAGUGAUUUUGUUAUUUUAAAGCCUUGGUAAAUAAAGACAUAAAAAAGGGGUUCAUGCAGAGACAUGGCCAUAAUUCUGGGUGGGAAGCUAUGAUGCUAGUUUACUUCAUUUUGUUUUAGGGAAGGGGACAGAGUUAGACAUGAGCAACAAUCUAUACAAAGUCAUUUAUCAAGCUUUCCUGGAGUCACUGUGAUGUCCUUGAAAGUAGACUGCUUCAUUUCUUACAUACUCUGAUGUGGAAGAGAGAUGGCUGUUCUAAAUCUCAAACAUCGAGAAAGGCAAUGUGCAAACAGCUGGCACUAGCUUUUAGCAAAAAUUCGGGAAUGUGCUAACACAGGAAUAGAGCAGCUACAAAUUAUUCUGACAAAUAUUUGUUGUCACACAGAGGCUGGCUUCCCUGUACUGACUGUGCUGCAAGAUUUUACUGUCUUUUCCUCUUCUUACUGAAGAUCUUGGACACUUAAAGGUGCAUGGUCAAUAGAUGGCAGCAAGUCAUUUAUCCUGACUCUUACCUCUUCUGGGCAGUCCUCUGUGCACAAUCAGUGCUCACCCUCCUGUUUUAACAAAACACCUUCUUCUUCUUUGCAAUUCUAAAGGCUGCAAUGAGAUGUAUAAGCCAAUGACAGUUAAUCAUAUGUUUCAUCAAAGAAAUAUCCUCUUUCAAAUAUCUGGCAUGUCUGUUUUUACAAACCCCCUAACACAGUUUAAACUCUAUGUUUCUUUAGUCCAACAAUUAUAGACCCCUUUAACUGGUAUUCAGAGUGAUAAGAAUUAGUGAUUUCCUGUGGGAAUGCUUUAUCAAGGCACAGCAGAGGAGAUGGUGCUAGAGGGGAACCUCUACACCUUACAUAGAUGUCUACCCCAUGAAGACCUUACAUGUUGUCAUGGCAGUGAGUGAAACUGGCAGGAAGAGAAAGUUGAUGACAGGAAUUUACUGAAUGAAGAAAAAAAGCAGUAAUUCUUCAAAGUACAGGAGCUGAAAAUAAUGUUGCUCACAGAAAUUUUCCUUCCAGGAACUGCAGUAAAACUCAUUAUAUCUCCCAAACUACCACAGUUCCCAAAAGGAGUUUUCAUCUGUUAGUUUAGUUAAGGAGCUUUGACACCAUGCUUUCUCCAGUCACAGUGCUGCCUCUGACACUAAUCUUUUGUGCAGCUUUGAAAAUGGAUGAGAAAAUCUUUUGAUGAAAUCUGUAGGAAUCCAGAAAGUGAAACCUGUAUAUGGCCCACUACAGUCUUUUCCCUCUGUAACCUUUACUGUUCCCUGAUAUUCCAAUAUAACUGUCUUACAGCAAGAAAUUCCUGUGAAGGAAGAUGAGGGAGAGGCAUGCUGGUUUUGCUAUUAAUCUUUUGCAAAGCUAAUUGUGAUUACAGCAGAAAAUAAUUAUUUCCUCAGUGAUAUUGCAAAAUCAAGCAACUGGAAAAUCAUUUCCAAACUUUUAAAUAUUCUAGAACUACCGUUUUGCUGAGUGAUUGGUGGUGUUUUGCUGUGAGUUGAUACAUGCCUGAUAAUUAUACUGACAAUAUUGACACCUUUGAAUGUUUAAUAGAAAGUUAAGAUUCAUUUGACAAAGGAUAGGUAAUAUCACAUUCUAAAAUUAAAGAUGUGAUGAUAAAACCUUGAAUUUCACCGUUUAGUUAUUAAAAGUGCAUUUAUUUAAGAGAAGUCUGAGAAGUUUUACAUCAUUAUUUUAUUUUAUGUAUGUAUCUUACUUUACAGCUGUUCUAAGGAUUUGAUACUUGAAAGAUUUAUAAAGCCAAGCUAUAUAAAGAACAUUUGAAAACAGAAUCAAUAAUUUCUUACAUAACUAGAGUAGCAGCAUUAUUCUGGAGAUCUUAAGGCAUAUAUUCAAAUGUUAAUUAAUACAGGACCAUUGUGAGGAGAAUAAUUAUUGAUAUAUUCAUAUUAUGAGUGAAUAAACUAGUCACAGAGCAUAUUCUAACACUGCUGAGAAUGCAGUAAUAACUCCUGCUUGACCAACUUGGUAAACUUCUGGUUUGGUAGAUGAGAGGAAGGCAGUGGAUGUUGCUGACAUUAAUUUCAGUAAGGUCUCCCAUGAGAUCCUCACAGACAAGCUGAUGAAAUAUGGGUUGGAUGGGCAGACAGUGAGGAGGAUUAUAAACUGGCUGAGUGGAUGGGCCCAGAGGGUGAUGAUAGUGACGUGAAAUUGGAGGCCAGUAACCAUCAGUGUAAUCCAGGGGUCAAUACUGGGUCCAGUCCUGUUUAAGAUCUGUGUUAAUGAUGGGGAAGGUUGUGCCCUCAGCAAGUCUGAAGAUGACACAAACCUGGGGGGAAUGGCUGAUAGGUGCUGCCAUCCAGAGAGGCUUCAUCAGGCUGAAGAAAUGGGAUGACAGGAACCUCAUGAAGUUCAGCAAGGAGAAAUGCAGUCCUGCACCUGGGGAAGAACAAUCCAAGGCACCAUUAUAUGCUGGGGGCUGCUCAGCUGGAAAUAAGUUUGACAGGAAAGAACUUGUGGGGUCCUAGUGAACACCAAGUUGAACAUCAGUCCCCAGUGUGUCCUUGCUGCAGGGAGGGUGAGAGGGAUGCUUAUCUGCUGCAGGCAGAGCGUUGACAGCAGGUUGAGGGAGGUGAUCCUCCUCUCUCAGCACUGGUGGGCCACUCCUGGAGUGCUGUGUCCAGCUCAGGGCUCCACAUAGGAGAGACAGGGACCUGUGGGGGUAGACAGAGAGAGCCGGGACAGUUCAGCGUAGAGAACAAAGUCUCAGUGGGGAAUCUCAAUGUGCGAAGGAAGGGUGAUAUCAGUGGGGCCCCGUGACAGGAUCAGAGGUGACAGGCAAUACUGAAACACAAAAGGCUCCCUCUGAACAUCAGGAACCAUUUUUUUACUGUGAAGGAGACUGAGCAGAUGUUGCCCAGGAAGGUUGUGAGAUCUUCCUCCCUGAAGAUAUCCAAAAGCUGUCCAUACAUGGUGCUGGGCAGGUGUCUGUAGGUGGGUGAGCUUGAGCAGGUGGUUGAGCCAUGUCACCUCCUGAGGUUACUCCCAACCUCAACUAUUUUGUGGUUCUAACUAAGAUUCCAGUUUUUCUCUCACAUCAUAUACUCUGUAAAAUCCUUAUGAACCUGGAUAUUUUUUGUGCUGUGUUUCCAUGUUUCUUACUCUAUUCAUAUUCUGAAGUAACACACAUUUUUUGGGAUAAGUUCUCUUUUUUUCUUCUUAAAGUUAUACUCUUUCUUCUUUGCACUGCCUGCUUCCACACUGAUUUUCCUCCUUCCCUCCCUUCUUCCUCCAUCUGUUUGGAUUAAUUUUCCCUAUCAUGGUAUUUUUGACUGUUGAAGGUGCCCAUUCUGCCUUUAUUUUUCACUCUUCUCUUGCCUGAAAGCCCAAAUAUCUACCAUCACAACUGUUUUCUUCCUUUUCUUCCUUCAACAGCAGAGAUCAUAUCUCCAGCCUGUCCCUCCUUCUCUCCCACUCCACUUUCCCAAUCCCUGCUAUUAAGUCUCCUUGGCAUUUUUUUCCUAAGCCUUUGCCCAUCUCUCCUCCUGCUCCCUAUGUGGAAUGUCUUCUAAACAAAAUCACUCAUCCCAGCUUUGUCACUAAACAAGAUUUCAGAAGAAAUAAUUAAAAAAUGAAUAAACACAAGUAUUUCCCAGAGUACCAUAAGCACUGAGUGUAGGCAAGGUUGUGCUAUAAUGAUUAUAGCGAAAAAGAAAAGCUAUCUCUGGUAGUGUCAGUAUAUCUGGUACCUUCAAUUUCUCUCAUUUCACAUUGAUAUCUGCUUCUUUUUUUUAUGUUGUGGAGUGCCUGUGGCUUCCUCUGUCCACCUGGGAGAAGGAGAAGGGCUUAACAUGAGCAGUAUGGCUUGAUAUGAGCAGUCUGACUUUGCCAGCUGGAGUUUAAAUGUCCCCUUCAUUUGUCCCCUAGGACAUCUCUGUUGUGACUUCAGACAUGGCACCAUGGGUUUUAUUAUUAUCACCUAUUUUAUCACAUCUUUGACAACUAGAGUCCCCUCUCACCUGCAGGUUACUUUUUCCCUUUUGUCUCUUCUGAAGAUGCAGUGGUAAAGUCCCAGAGUGGGCUGUAAGCUGAAGCCUUUACUAAGGCUUUUUAAGAGAAUUCCUUUGUGGGAUUCUGUCCCCCACUGUUUGUGCCUUUUUGAUAUGAUUCUCUCUCUCUCACACACAUAAAAUGACUCCUAGUCUUGCAGUUGAUAUUGAUGGAUUGGUUUUCAUGCUGUGUUUCUUUUGUUUUUAAUCUGUGUUUGUUGCAGAACCUCAAGAUCUGGGUGAUCUGAGUCCUGCUUUAGUCUAAGUCUAUUAGGGUAGACGUUCAGGCAGCUACUACACUACAAACAUCAGAUUAAUUGUUCUUUUUAUCAGUAUUUAGGCAGGAUGUAAAUUUGGGGGCAGCCUUAAACAAUUUGCAGCUCAUCAGGAAUCCUGGAAAGAGGGAAUUAUGGAAGGAGGAUGUUCUAUAAUAAAGAAAUAUGGGGAAACUUCCUUUUGCCUCUGACAGUCCUUCUGACUUUUUCAAAUGCUGAGUCAGUGCUUAAUCAAGCAGCAGUUCUGUCAAAACUCACAGGCAUGAAGCACAUGAAUCAGCUCAUAUGAUACACUGGCAAGGACGCCCUUGAAUUUUGGUGGGGUCGGAGCCCAAUUUAAGAGUAAUCCUACUGACCACUGGAUGUCACUGCGACACUGCAGGAAUGAAAAUUGAGGCAAGGAUUUUCAAAAGUAUCCAAAGAAUUUAAGAGCAUGAGUCCUUAUGACCAUUAUUUCAACUUUAGGAAUUUCCCUAAAAUUUGCUGUUAGCCUACAUUGCACUGAUGAAUAGUGAGCUUUAAUUUUGAGAGUUAGACACUCUAAUCUAUCAAAAAGUGUAUUAAUUAGUAUAACUAAAAUGUGUGUUUGUGUCUCAGAAAGGGGAUUCCC